This 230-nucleotide ribosomal RNA is filed under the name uncultured bacterium. RNAcentral's name for it is "partial 16S ribosomal RNA". It matches the Rfam family "Bacterial small subunit ribosomal RNA", at positions 562 to 791 of the family's 1533-position model. The record is from RNAcentral.
AAAGGGUCCGUAGGCGGUUUGGUAAGUCAGUGGUGAAAGCCCAUCGCUUAACGAUGGAACGGCCAUUGAUACUGCCAGACUUGAAUUACUAGGAAGUAACUAGAAUAUGUAGUGUAGCGGUGAAAUGCUUAGAUAUUACAUGGAAUACCAAUUGCGAAGGCAGGUUACUACUAGUGGAUUGACGCUGAUGGACUAAAGCGUGGGGAGCGAACAGGAUUAGAUACCCGAGU